UACAGAGGUCUCAAGCGUUGUUCGGAUUCAUUGGGCGUAAAGGGUGCGUAGGUGGCGCUGUAAGUCAGGUGUGAAAUUUCGGGGCUUAACUCCGAAACUGCAUUCGAUACUGCCGUGCUUGAGGACUGGAGAGGAGACUGGAAUUUACGGUGUAGCGGUGAAAUGCGUAGAUAUCGUAAGGAAGACCAGUGGCGAAGGCGGGUCUCUGGACAGUUCCUGACGCUGAGGCACGAAGGUCAGGGGAGCAAACGGG
RNAcentral lists this ribosomal RNA (253 nucleotides) under uncultured bacterium. RNAcentral's name for it is "partial 16S ribosomal RNA". It matches the Rfam family "Bacterial small subunit ribosomal RNA", at positions 524 to 776 of the family's 1533-position model. The record is from RNAcentral.